UACGUAGGGUGCGAGCGUUGUUCGGAAUUACUGGGCGUAAAGCGCGCGCAGGCGGUUCUUCAAGUCAGAGGUGAAAGCCCAGAGCUCAACUCUGGAAUGGCCUUUGAGACUAGAGAACUAGGGUACGGGAGAGGUGAGUGGAAUUCCGAGUGUAGAGGUGAAAUUCGUAGAUAUUCGGAAGAACACCAGUGGCGAAGGCGGCUCACUGGCCCGUUACCGACGCUCAGGCGCGACAGCGUGGGGAGCAAACAGG
This 253-nucleotide ribosomal RNA is filed under the name uncultured bacterium. Its description in RNAcentral is "partial 16S ribosomal RNA". It matches the Rfam family "Bacterial small subunit ribosomal RNA", at positions 524 to 776 of the family's 1533-position model. The record is from RNAcentral.